GAGGAAUUCCAGCAGUUGCAGAGGCGGAAGUCGAAAUCCACAGUCGCAAAGUCCCCAGCAUGGCCAGCAGCUUCUGUGGCCGGCGUUAGUGGAGUUGGACGGCAGGAUGAGGGCGCAGCAGGCAGCAGCGGUGUGGACAGAGCCUUGGCACAGGAUUAACACCCAAUAGGAGACUCAAUGGAGAAGCCAGAAGAUUGAAACUUAUAUAUCACCCUGAGCUACUGAAAGGAGUAGGGGUUUGGAGUUUCUUGUGGUUGGUGGAGAAAAAUCAUGGGAAGGAGAAAGAAGCAAAGCAUCUAGGAAACGCAUUCAAGUGUAGAACCUGGGCAUGCUGACCAAGGCAGAAGACGUCAUUCCAGACAGGGUUGGCUUGGACACCACAGGACACUUUCCCGGGGGUGUGGAGGCCCACGGCAGCCUGAACAGGGUUUGUGAGGAGGAGGAUGACAAAAAUCUAAAAAGCUGAAGAAAAGAAUUUUUGAGGCUCUGUUGCUUGGAACAGAAAACCAACUGUCUAAAGAAGGUGAUGCGUUAAAUAGGGUCCCUGGGAUUAGGCAAAAUCCUAAAUGUUGAAAGAGGAGGGAUUAAGAGGGAAUGCAUUAAAAGUUUUUCUUCUGAAUUUGGAUAUACAGAAAAAAAGAAAUAAACCAGUAUGUCCUACCGUUUUAAAAUACAGUCAUACAGCUCUGAAAUGCUAAACCUAAAAUGAAGCUCAAAGUUUGAAACACCCAUGUACAAAGAGAACUCCCACAUCUGUGUACUUAAGCAUUUCAGAAAGUCUCAAGAGGGCUCAGUUUCAUUUUUAAAGUAUCAAGAUAUGUACCAAGAAGGCUCAAGAGAGUCUGUAAGUUUAAAAAAAAUUUUUUGUACUAGGGAUCAAGCCCUGGGCUUCACACAUUCUAGGCAAGUGUUCUACCACUGAGCUACAUUCUCAGCCAAGAUUAUUUGAAGUUUUAUUGUGCAUUAAAUUAUUUGAGAAAAUACUAGUAUUGAGAUAGUGAAAAUAUUUAUUUUCUCCUAGUUGCCAGUCUUUCCACCAAUUUCAGGUCUGUAAUUCAUGCAAAGUCACUUUCCCUAGCCCAAAAUCUGCUGCAAAAGACUUUCUCCUGUGACCCAGCCUCCCCAGCUCUCUACUCCCUGCUUCCGUUCACGGGUCUGCUUGAGCUCUCUUUCUCCCACCCUGUUUGUCCACGUAAGUCCAGGAGCUGUGGAAACCUGCAGAGCUGGCUUUCCAAUCCUCCCUGCUCUUCAAAGCUGUACAAAUUUCAAGGCGCUUAACUUCUCCCUACUUAGUCUUUUUAAUGUAAGACAGUGAUAACCCUUCUCGCAAACAAGAUUGAUAGGAGAGGAAGUGAGAAAAUGUGUGUAACUCUCAUGUCAGACGCCUGCCUGAGAGCAGGUGCACCUUCUCCUGGGCCCUCUCUAUCUUGUCUUUAUUCGGGCCUUCCUUGACACCUCUUGCCUACCAAGGCAGAAGACUCUAGUUUCUUCCUUGAAUUACCGAAACACUGUGUUAUCUGUUGUAGCACUCAACACCCAUGAAUCAUCUACUUUAUAAUAUAGUUAAUUCUAUAAAGUUCUCAGAAGCUGAAGUA
This 1595-nucleotide long non-coding RNA is filed under the name Heterocephalus glaber (naked mole-rat). Its description in RNAcentral is "lncRNA (ENSHGLG00000037501.1)". Lineage: Eukaryota; Metazoa; Chordata; Mammalia; Rodentia; Bathyergidae. The record is from RNAcentral.